This 17-nucleotide small RNA is filed under the name Arabidopsis thaliana (thale cress). Its description in RNAcentral is "ATSL191580". Lineage: Eukaryota; Viridiplantae; Streptophyta; Magnoliopsida; Brassicales; Brassicaceae. The record is from RNAcentral.
UAAAAACACAAAAAAAA